AUUGAACGCUGGCGGCAGGCUUAACACAUGCAAGUCGAGCGGGGUGAUGGUGCUUGCACUAUCACUUAGCGGCGGACGGGUGAGUAAUGCUUAGGAAUCUGCCUAUUAGUGGGGGACAACAUCUCGAAAGGGAUGCUAAUACCGCAUACGUCCUACGGGAGAAAGCAGGGGAUCACUUGUGACCUUGCGCUAAUAGAUGAGCCUAAGUCGGAUUAGCUAGUUGGUGGGGUAAAGGCCUACCAAGGCGACGAUCUGUAGCGGGUCUGAGAGGAGGAGCCGCAACACUGGGACUGAGACAGGGCCCGGACUCCUACGGGAGGCAGCAGUGGGGAAUAUUGGACAAUGGGGGGAACCCUGAGCCAGCCAUGCCGCGUGUGUGAAGAAGGCCUUAUGGUUGUAAAGCACUUUAAGCGAGGAGGAGGCUCUUUUGGUUAAUACCCAGAAUGAGUGGACGUUACUCGCAGAAUAAGCACCGGCUAACUCUGUGCCAGCAGCCGCAGUAA
RNAcentral lists this ribosomal RNA (503 nucleotides) under uncultured bacterium. RNAcentral describes it as "partial 16S ribosomal RNA". It matches the Rfam family "Bacterial small subunit ribosomal RNA", at positions 30 to 523 of the family's 1533-position model. The record is from RNAcentral.